GAUGGGAGCUUGCUCCCUGAUAUUAGCGGCGGACGGGUGAGUAACACGUGGGUAACCUGCCUGUAAGAUUGGGAUAACUCCGGGAAACCGGAGCUAAUACCGGAUAACAUUUUGAACCGCAUGGUUCGAAAUUGAAAGAUGGUUUCGGCUAUCACUUACAGAUGGACCCGCGGCGCAUUAGCUAGUUGGUGAGGUAACGGCUCACCAAGGCAACGAUGCGUAGCCGACCUGAGAGGGUGAUCGGCCACACUGGGA
This 255-nucleotide ribosomal RNA is filed under the name Metabacillus rhizolycopersici. RNAcentral describes it as "partial 16S ribosomal RNA". It matches the Rfam family "Bacterial small subunit ribosomal RNA", at positions 71 to 318 of the family's 1533-position model. Lineage: Bacteria; Bacillati; Bacillota; Bacilli; Caryophanales; Bacillaceae. The record is from RNAcentral.